CGGGAAGUAGCUCAGCUUGGUAGAGCACUUGGUUUGGGACCAAGGGGUCGCAGGUUCGAAUCCUGUCUUUCCGA
This 74-nucleotide transfer RNA is filed under the name Staphylococcus aureus. Its description in RNAcentral is "tRNA-Pro(tgg)". It matches the Rfam family "tRNA". Rfam says of the family: Transfer RNA (tRNA) molecules are approximately 80 nucleotides in length. Their secondary structure includes four short double-helical elements and three loops (D, anti-codon, and T loops). Lineage: Bacteria; Bacillati; Bacillota; Bacilli; Caryophanales; Staphylococcaceae. RNAcentral also lists the same sequence under 11 other names. The record is from RNAcentral.